AUACUCGUAUAAAACCCUUAUCCAAUUUUCCUCAGCCUACCGAAUUUGCAUUCGUCGCCCUCAUAAGAUUGAAGCUCGAUUCGGACGGAAAUCACGCGUUCAACAAGCUUGUAUUUGUUUUUGUAGACUAUGGAUCCCAACGCAACGGCGGCGGCGGUGAUCGGAGGCGGUGGGAAUGGAAUAAUGACAUCGCAAUCAACAGACGCAUCACCGGCGGAUUCUUCCGCAACCACUGCAGCAACACCUAUUGACGAUUCUAAGCAAAACUUGACUCAAGUAAUAAAUUCGAUCCAGAAGACGCUCGGCAUCCUCCACCAGCUCUACCUUACCGUCUCCUCCUACAACGUCGCCUCCCAACUUCCUCUCCUCCAGCGCAUGAACAAUUUGGUUAUGGAACUGGAUAACAUGACAAGAUUAGCUGAGAAGUGUAACAUUCAGAUUCCCAUGGAGGUUCUCAAUUUGAUAGAUGAUGGAAAGAAUCCUGAUCAAUUCACGCGAGAUAUGUUGAAUGGUUGCAUUGCAAAGAACCAGAUUACCAAAGGGAAAACAGAUUCUUUCAAGGCCUUGCGAAGGCAUCUGCUUGAGGAUCUGGAGCAGACAUUUCCUGAUGAAGUUGAAUCUUAUAGGGACAUACGAGCAGCAUCUGCAGCUGAUACAAGACGAUUUCCGCAGCCGCAAAAUAUGCUUCCAAAUGGAGAUGUGAAAGUUAAACCAGACAUACGCUAAUAUGGGUUUAGGUUGAUGUUGAGCGGAAGAGUCUUAGGUUUCUUCGAUCUUUAUUGUCCAUUAGUUCUCAACAGCUGAAUUGCUACCCCUACUGUGACAUAUGAUUGGCCCAAUUCAUCUAUGAAGAGAUCUUUUAAACUUCUGAUCGAGCGAGCGCAAUAGACUACAAAUUAUGUCGGCAAGGUAAGACUUGUUUUGUGUGGCAAAGCAAAAUUUAGAGGGUGCUCGACAAGUUUCGAAUUUGUGACAUGGAGGUGCCCUUUAUCAAGAGAUUUGGUUUCGCCUAGUAUCAUUUAUUUUACUGGUUUAGUUUGCAUGUUAUUAGGUUGUCGGACAUUUGAGGAGUAAUUUGCCUCCAAAGACUUUUAAAUAUACAGUGACCAAAUAUUUACUAGAAAUUUUAAGAGAAAAAGAUGUGUUUGA
This is an RNA transcript of Andrographis paniculata, 1149 nucleotides long. It is a transcript of the gene named mediator of RNA polymerase II transcription subunit 10b-like, with no coding region annotated. NCBI's taxonomy places the organism in Eukaryota, Viridiplantae, Streptophyta, Magnoliopsida, Lamiales, Acanthaceae. The record is from RefSeq and is a predicted model, not a curated record. The transcript has 6 exons.